UACAGAGGGGGCAAGCGUUGUUCGGAAUUACUGGGCGUAAAGGGCGCGUAGGCGGCCUUCUAAGUCGAACGUGAAAUCCCCGGGCUCAACCCGGGAACUGCGUCCGAUACUGGAAGGCUUGAAUCCGGGAGAGGGAUGCGGAAUUCCAGGUGUAGCGGUGAAAUGCGUAGAUAUCUGGAGGAACACCGGUGGCGAAGGCGGCAUCCUGGACCGGAAUUGACGCUGAGGCGCGAAAGCCAGGGGAGCAAACGGG
Molecule: ribosomal RNA, 253 nt
Filed under: uncultured bacterium
Lineage: Bacteria
Description: partial 16S ribosomal RNA
Rfam family: Bacterial small subunit ribosomal RNA
Source: RNAcentral